Molecule: ribosomal RNA, 460 nt
Filed under: uncultured bacterium
Lineage: Bacteria
Description: partial 16S ribosomal RNA
Rfam family: Bacterial small subunit ribosomal RNA
Source: RNAcentral
CCUACGGGAGGCAGCAGUGAGGAAUAUUGGUCAAUGGACGAGAGUCUGAACCAGCCAAGUAGCGUGAAGGAUGACUGCCCUAUGGGUUGUAAACUUCUUUUAUAUGGGAAUAAAAUGUUCCACGUGUGGGAUUUUGUAUGUACCAUAUGAAUAAGGAUCGGCUAACUCCGUGCCAGCAGCCGCGGUAAUACGGAGGAUCCGAGCGUUAUCCGGAUUUAUUGGGUUUAAAGGGAGCGUAGGUGGAUUUUUAAGUUAGUUGUGAAAGUUUGCGGCUCAACCGUAAAAUUGCAGUUGAAACUGGCAGUCUUGAGGACAGUAGAGGUGGGCGGAAUGCGUGGUGUAGCGGUGAAAUGCUUAGAUAUCACGAAGAACUCCGAUUGCGAAGGCAGUUCACUGGACUGCAACUGACACUGAGGCUCGAAAGUGUGGGUAUCAAACAGGAUUAGAUACCCUUGUAGUC